RNAcentral lists this ribosomal RNA (496 nucleotides) under uncultured bacterium. RNAcentral describes it as "partial 16S ribosomal RNA". It matches the Rfam family "Bacterial small subunit ribosomal RNA", at positions 29 to 507 of the family's 1533-position model. The record is from RNAcentral.
AUGAACGCUGGCGGCGUGCCUCAUACAUGCCAGUCGCGCGAACAGACGAGGAGCUUGCUCCUCUGACGUUAGCGGCGGACGGGUGAGUAACACGUGGAUAACCUACCUAUAAGACUGGGAUAACUUCGGGAAACCGGAGCUAAUACCGGAUGAUAUAUUGAACCGCAUGGUUCAAUAGUGAAAGACGGUUUUGCUGUCACUUAUAGAUGGAUCCGCGCCGCAUUAGCUAGUUGGUAAGGUAACGGCUUACCAAGGCAACGAUGCGUAGCCGACCUGAGAGGGUGAUCGGCCACACUGGAACUGAGACACGGUCCAGACUCCUACGGGAGGCAGCAGUAGGGAAUCUUCCGCAAUGGGCGAAAGCCUGACGGAGCAACGCCGCGUGAGUGAUGAAGGUCUUCGGAUCGUAAAACUCUGUUAUUAGGGAAGAACAAAUGUGUAAGUAACUAUGCACGUCUUGACGGUACCUAAUCAGAAAGCCACGGCUAACUACGUG